RNAcentral lists this long non-coding RNA (3685 nucleotides) under Homo sapiens (human). RNAcentral describes it as "HSALNT0257935". Lineage: Eukaryota; Metazoa; Chordata; Mammalia; Primates; Hominidae. The record is from RNAcentral.
GUGAGUAAGGGGUCAGGCAGCACCAAGCAAGGUUGGAGGAUGAGCACAGUGAGGACCCACAGGGCCUAUCAACUGUGUUAAGAUAAACACCAAAUCCUGCGGCUGGGCAUGGUGGCUCACACCUGUAAUCCCAGCACUUUGUGAGGCUGAGGCGGGAGGAUCACCUGAGAUCGGGAAUUCGAGACCAGCCUGGCCAGCAUGGAGAAACCCCGUCUCUACUAAAAAUACAAAAUUAGCUGGGCGUGGUGGCACACGCCUGUAAUCUCAGCUACUUCGGAGGCUGAGGUAGAAGAAUCGCUUGAACCAGGGAGGCGGAGGUUGCGGUGAGCUGAGAUUGCGCCAUUGCACUCCAGCCUGGGCAACAAGAGCGAAACUCCGUCUCAAAAAAAAAAAAAAAAAAACCCUAGAAAGCCCCAGGAAGUCAAAGAAGGGCGUCAGUGCAGAGCAAUGCGCCAGCUCUUGGUUGCCGUAUUCCUGGUGCUACAAUAAAAGUUUGUUGACCAUGUGCACUCAGGUGGGAAUCAGAGGCUCAAGAGAAAAGCUAAAACCACCUGGAAGCUAAGCCUUGUCUAACCAAAUCUAUUGAGUCUCCCUCCAGCUAACUGAGGGGUCAGAUGCCACUCAUUUCUGUUUGGGAACAGUCAUUUGCUUUAACUCUCAGCCUCUUGCUGCAGCCAUGCUGCCUUCCCCUCAGUGUCCUCCUUCCUGCCACAGUAAGUCACUCUGGAGUGCCACGCUCCACUUAAAAAUAAACACCUUCUGUCUCCAUCCUGGCACAGUUUCAGCUUAUUUAGCAUUCUAACAUAUGUCGUCUGUUUUCCCAAACAAUCUAACAUGAGCAUAGCACGAUGGGGUUGAUAAUUUGGGCAAAUGAGAAACAGCCUGCCAUCAGCACAGACACAGUGACAUUUGAUUUGCUAUCGGUAGAUUCCAUUGUGUUCUCUCUUCUCAUCCUUGGAUGAUAAACACAGAAAAAGACUGCAAGAUUUCCAGCCCUGGCUCUGUGGCAGAGAAUAAGGUCUGGAGGCAGGGAACCUAAGGCUGCUUCAGGCUGACUUCUUAGAACUAAGUUGAAAGGAAAACCUUAACCUUCCAUGCCUAAGUAACAAAAGGACCACAGGCUACUCCCUUUGACCUUUUCUCCAGGGCAAAUGGGAAAUUGGCUGUUCUGCAACAAAUCAGACUGAUUACCGGUCAAGUCUUCGUUUGCAACUUUGCAACUUCUCUCCAGCCUCUGAAAGGUUACUGUCCACAACCCAUCAGACUGAUUGCAGGCCGAGUCUUCAUUUGCAUAGAAGUAUAACUUUGUAGCUUCAUCCUAGCCUGUGACUGCUCCUUUAGGAACCAAUCAGAUGUUUGCACAGGAGGGUGACCUUUGUAACUUCUCUUCAGCCUCUGGUUGGCUGCUUUCUGCAACCAAUCAGAUUGAUUGUGGGCUACCACUUCACUUACCUGAGAUGAGCAAGAAGUGGCCAAUGGGAAACUUCUAGGGGGUAUCUAGACCCAAGAAGAUUCUGUAUCUGGGCUCUUGAGCCACUGCGGCUCAGUCCACUCCCACACUGUGGAGUGUACUUUCAUUUUCAAUAAAUCCCUGCUUUCGUUCUUUUGUUGCUUCAUUCUUUCUUUACUUUGCUGGGCAUUUUGUCCAGUUCUUCGUUCAAAACACCAAGAACCUGGACAGCUUGCAGUUAUGACCCUCUACCGGUGACGUAUCUUGGCAAGCCAGCCAGGAGGAAAGGUUGAAACCUAAUCCCCACUGUGAUGGAAGCAAGAGGUGGAAACUUUGAGAGGUGAUGAGGUCAUGGGGCAGAGCCCUUAUGAUUGGGAUCAGUGCCCUUAUACACAAGGCCCUGGGAGAGCUUCCUCGUCCUGUUCUGCCACGUGAGGACACAGCAAGAAGCCGCCAUCUGUGAAGCAGGAAGCAGCCCUCACAGACACCAAAUCUGCCGGCCCCUUGACCUUGGAGUUUCCAGCUUCCAGAACUGCGAGAAAUAAAUGUCUGUGGUUUGUAGGUCACCCAGUCUGUGGGAUUUCAUAAUAGCAGCCCAAGUGGACUAAGAGAGUGGUAAAAUUAAACACAGCAAUUACACACAUUUGGGGUCUCCCAUAUGACAGGCAAGUAUUCUUUGUUAUCAAAAUCCAAAAUCCAAGACUCAAGGGCUGCAGGAGCCAUCUCUGCCCAUCCCCCACGUUCAUCUUUUGGCAUCUGUCCCCCUCCUCCCAUGGGGCUUACUUCUAUUUUUAUUAUUUCUGGCUCUUACCUCAGGGCCCUUGCACUUGCUGUUCCACUUGCCAGGAAUUCUCUUCCCUGCUUGUCUUAAAACUGAUUCUUCUCAUCCUUCAGUGUCCAUAAGAAGUGUGGCUUCCUUAGGGAGUGUUUCUCCUUCCACCCUUGAUGAGCUGGUUGCCCCCCUCCCUCACUCACUACUGAGUCCCCAGGGUGGGGAACGCAUCUGUACUGACCAUUACUGCACCCCAUUGCAUAGUCCUAAUGCACAGUAGAAACUUGAUAAAUGUUUCCUUCCUUCAUUCAACAAAUAUUUACUGAGCACUGACGGUGUGCCAGGCAUGACAACAAGUGUUUAAAAUACAUCAGUGCUCAAAACAGCCAAGAUCCUCUACUCUCAAAAAGUGUAAAUAUUUUUUUCAAAUCAAUGACCGAGCCCGCUGACCAGAACCCCAGACACUGAGUAGCUAAGCAGAAAGCAGCUGCAAGGGCAAUGCAGGUGAAGGGAAGAACAAGCCGAUGGCCCAGAAGGCAGGAUGAGAAUCCGAGAUCCACUCUCCAUGAUCUGCCAUGAGUUCCACCAGAGGCCUGGCCAUGCCUUGGUUUCCCCCAGCCCACAGCCUGCAAAUAGCUCCUCGAAACCCUUGGGGUGUUAUGGCCCCUGCUCAUCCUCCUGAGGGCACAGGCAGCGAACUGAGAACCCCUGUGAAUAGCACUCUGGAAAAGUCAAGUGCCCUCCACCUGCUGAAUCACACUUGACUUUUGCUAAAAUCAAGACAAUUACAAGAUUGUUCCUGAUCCUAUUUAGUACGGCUGGAUGGCCCUUGAGCCAAAUUAGAGGGAGGAUGGGCCUGGAAUGAGAGAGGAUGAGAUAGGUUCCAUGAAGCUCCCAUAAGAAUUUCACUCUUGAGGCGAUGCCACAGCCCUGGCAGGCUGCACAGAAUAAAAGUCCACCUUGGUUAGAUGCUUCACCUGUUUCUAAAGGAAACUGUACUCCAUCAUUGUUCAGGAACUUAAAGCAUUCAUUUAAAAAGUAAUAGCAAACACUCAGUAAAAGCACACUUUGACCACCCACUCUUCAGACCAGGGCCCCACCCGUUUCAGAAAUAACCAUUCUUACCAAAUUAGUGCAUGCCUCUUCCAGAAUUUUCUAUGCAUUUACAUACACAUGUAUUGUUUAAUUUUUUUCUUGGUUUUGUUUUAUAUAAAUGAGUUAUAUUGUCAUUUCGGUUCAAAAGCUUUUCUUCCUCUACAUUACAUUCUAUCUUGAAAGUCUUAUUAGUACAUAUAUAUGCUUUUUUUUAAUUUUUAGAAAUGGGAUCUCGCUUUGUCACCCAAGCUGGAGUGCAGUGGUGUGAUCAUAGCUCACUGCAGCUUUGAACUGCUGGGCUCAAGCGAUUCUUCCACCUCAGCCUCCUGAGUAGCUGGGACUACAGGCGAGCACCAACACACCUGGCU